GGCAGAGAGACACUGCCAGCUGCUGCCAUGACCAGCAGCAUGUGAAAACACCGGAACAAGUGGCCAUGGAGUCUGUGGGAAGGUCAGAAGACAACUUGCUGGAGACAAUUCAUAUGAGCUUCACAGCACAGGUGAAGCAAGAGAAGAGAGAAGAGUCAUGCAGAACUGAAUCACAUGAGCAGAUCAAAAGAGAUCAAGGCUAUUUACCUUCACAGAUCGUGACGCCAUUUCCAGAGAACCCCACA
Peromyscus maniculatus bairdii (prairie deer mouse) is the source of this 245-nucleotide non-coding RNA. The record is from RefSeq and is a predicted model, not a curated record. Lineage: Eukaryota; Metazoa; Chordata; Mammalia; Rodentia; Cricetidae.